Molecule: ribosomal RNA, 252 nt
Filed under: uncultured bacterium
Lineage: Bacteria
Description: partial 16S ribosomal RNA
Rfam family: Bacterial small subunit ribosomal RNA
Source: RNAcentral
GACAGAGGGUGCAAACGUUGUUCGGAAUUACUGGCGUAAAGCGCGUGUAGGCUGCUUCGCAAGUCGGAUGUGAAAGCCCUGGGCUCAACCCAGGAAGUGCAUUCGAAACUGCAGAGCUGGAGUCCUGGAGAGGAAGGCGGAAUUCUCGGUGUAGAGGUGAAAUUCGUAGAUAUCGAGAGGAACACCGGUGGCGAAGGCGGCCUUCUGGACAGUGACUGACGCUGAGACGCGAAAGCGUGGGGAGCAAACAGG